This 253-nucleotide ribosomal RNA is filed under the name uncultured bacterium. Its description in RNAcentral is "partial 16S ribosomal RNA". It matches the Rfam family "Bacterial small subunit ribosomal RNA", at positions 524 to 776 of the family's 1533-position model. The record is from RNAcentral.
UACGGAGGAGGCAAGCGUUAUCCGGAAUUAUUGGGCGUAAAGCGUCCGUAGGUGGCCAUGCAAGUCUGCUGUCAAAGCAUGGAGCUUAACUCCAUAGAGGCAGUGGAAACUGAAUAGCUAGAGUUCGGUAGGGGUAGCGGGAAUUCCCAGUGUAGCGGUGAAAUGCGUAGAGAGUGGGAAGAACAUCGGUGGCGAAAGCGCGCUACUGGGCCGCAACUGACACUGAUGGACGAAAGCUAGGGGAGCGAAAGGG